GAAUGUGAGGGUGAUAUGGCUGUGACAUCUGUCACGCCAACGAUCACCAGGGUUGAUUCUGCUGAUCUGGCUGGCUAGGCCGGUGGCCCCUUCCUCUGUAACUGUUCCGUGUGCAUUCAUCCCAAAACUGUGUGCCCAGUGGAAGAGGAUGACCUUCCCUGAGACAGGAGGAUCAUUCUUUGGUCAAGAGCAUAUGAGUAGCUGAGCUCUCCUGCUAAACCCUCCAAACAAGCGCUCAAGGUCCAUUUGUAGGGUGGCGAAGCUUCUGAAACUCCAGAUACAUCCAAACGAGGUGCUGCCUGUGGCAGUCUGCCAUUCUUU
Molecule: small nuclear RNA, 321 nt
Filed under: Tursiops truncatus (common bottlenose dolphin)
Lineage: Eukaryota; Metazoa; Chordata; Mammalia; Artiodactyla; Delphinidae
Description: 7SK RNA (ENSTTRG00000023752.1)
Rfam family: 7SK RNA
About the family: 7SK was discovered as an abundant small nuclear RNA in the mid-70s but a possible function has only recently been suggested. Two independent studies have found that 7SK RNA binds the CDK9/cyclin T complex (known as elongation factor P-TEFb).
Source: Rfam by way of RNAcentral